CACUCAUUCAAAGAGUGCGUAAUAGCUCACUGGUCGAGUGAUUUUGCGCCGAAAAUUUAACGGGGCUAAACUGUACACCGAAGCUUGGGAAUAUACAUUUGUAUGUUGGUAGGAGAGCGUUGUGUAAGGGGUGAAGUCGUAGCGAAAGCGGCGGUGGACUUUACACAAGUGAGAAUGCCGGAAUGAGUAGCGAGAAUUAUGUGAGAAUCAUAAUGGCCGAAAGACUAAGGUUUUAGAAGGAAGGUUCGUCCGCUUCUAGUUAGCCGGGAGCUAAGGCGAGGCCGAGAGGCGUAGUCGAUGCACAUACGGUUGAGAUUCCGUAGCUACCUUGCAUUUAAGCGAAGGGACACAUUUGAAGGGCAUGACCCGGGCGUUGGUUGACCCGGGCGUAAGGGACCGAAAAUAAGUAGGGAAGCAUGCUUGGAUGGUGGCGAGAAAAGCUUCGUGUAUAUAAGCAGGGUACCCGUACUGCAAACCGACACAGGUAGUCAGGAAGAGGAUUCUAAGGCCAUCGGGAGAAGCGUUGUUAAGGAACUCGGCAAAUUGACCCCGUAACUUCGGAAUAAGGGGUGCUCACGCGAGUGAGCCGCAGUGAAUAGGUCCAGGCAACUGUUUAUCAAAAACACAGCUCUCUGCUAAAUCGUAAGAUGACGUAUAGGGGGUGACACCUGCCCGGUGCUGGAAGGUUAAGAGGAGGGGUGCAAGCUCCGAAUUGAAGCCCCAGUAAACGGCGGCCGUAACUAUAACGGUCCUAAGGUAGCGAAAUUCCUUGUCGGGUAAGUUCCGACCCGCACGAAUGGUGUAAUGAUCUGGACACUGUCUCAACAACGCACCCGGCGAAAUUGUAGUACCGGUGAAGAUGCCGGUUACCCGCGGCAAGACGGAAAGACCCCAUGGAGCUUCACUGUAGCCUGAUAUUGGGUCUCGGUAUUUUAUGUACAGGAUAGGCGGGAGACUUGGAAACCAGCACGCCAGUGUUGGCGGAGUCACCCUUGGGAUACCGCUCUUAAAGUAUUGAGAUUCUAACCUGCAGCCGUGAAUCCGGCUGGGGGACAUUGUCAGGUGGGCAGUUUGACUGGGGCGGUCGCCUCCAAAAGAGUAACGGAGGCGUUCAAAGGUUCACUCAGCAUGGACGGAAACCAUGCCUUAGAGUGCAAACGCAUAAGCGAGCCUAACUGCGAGACUGACGGGUCGAGCAGUAACGAAAGUU
This 1210-nucleotide ribosomal RNA is filed under the name human gut metagenome. RNAcentral's name for it is "bacterial LSU rRNA". It matches the Rfam family "Bacterial large subunit ribosomal RNA", at positions 1116 to 2407 of the family's 2925-position model. The record is from RNAcentral.